UCGUGCAGCCGGGGCGUUAGCGGUGCCUUGUACCCACAAUCCGCUAUAGUGGGGGUGAUAUUGCGCAGAGGGCAUUUGAUUGUGAAGCUGCCCUUGAAAAGUGGCGUUGAAGUUUGGGUCUUACGCGACAGGAAUCUAUGAACCGUGUCAGGGCAGGAAUGCAGCAGCACUAAGUAGAACCUCCUGGGUGCCGUGAGGUUGCCUGGGCCGAGUUAACUGUCAAGGUAACGUUCAUGAGAGAACGUUCGAAGCGCAAUGCACGU
This 263-nucleotide signal recognition particle RNA is filed under the name Hespellia stercorisuis DSM 15480. RNAcentral describes it as "Bacterial large signal recognition particle RNA". It matches the Rfam family "Bacterial large signal recognition particle RNA". From Rfam's summary of the family: The signal recognition particle (SRP) is a universally conserved ribonucleoprotein involved in the co-translational targeting of proteins to membranes. Archaeal SRP consists of a 7S RNA and homologues of the eukaryotic SRP19 and SRP54 proteins. The record is from Rfam by way of RNAcentral. Lineage: Bacteria; Bacillati; Bacillota; Clostridia; Lachnospirales; Lachnospiraceae.